UACAGAGGGGGACAAGCGUUGUUCGGAUUCAUUGGGCGUAAAGGGUGCGUAGGCGGCGCGGUAAGUCGGGUGUGAAAUCUCGGAGCUUAACUCCGAAACUGCAUUCGAUACUGCCGUGCUUGAGGACUGGAGAGGAGACUGGAAUUUACGGUGUAGCGGUGAAAUGCGUAGAUAUCGUAAGGAAGACCAGUGGCGAAGGCGGGUCUCUGGACAGUUCCUGACGCUGAGGCACGAAGGCCAGGGGAGCAAACGGG
RNAcentral lists this ribosomal RNA (254 nucleotides) under uncultured bacterium. Its description in RNAcentral is "partial 16S ribosomal RNA". It matches the Rfam family "Bacterial small subunit ribosomal RNA", at positions 524 to 776 of the family's 1533-position model. The record is from RNAcentral.